CCGUAGGUGAACCUGCGGUUGGAUCAUUAACAAAUGCGAUUGUAUAUAUGGUCUGCACCGACCUAUAUAUAUCAGUCAGUCACAGUGUGAACUCAAUUAUCAGUACUUGGCAAGUUUUGCGUAUGUAUGUACACAGAGCUUCAAGGUAAAUCCGGUCCGCCAUCACGGUUUCCUGAUUUCACUGCUUGAAGGCUUGCCUACAAAACAUUUCAAUGUUAACUAUAGUCUGAAUCAUUCAAUGAUACAAAAGAAGGAAUCAAAAACAACUUUUGGCAACGGAUCUCUUGGCUCUCGCAACGAUGAAGAACGCAGCGAAAUGCGAUACAUAUCAUGAAUUGCAGAACUCUGAAUGAUAAAUGUUUGAACGCAAAUUGCACCGAUCUUCUGGUCGGUAUGUCUGUCUGAGAAUCUUAAAAGUUCCUACUUUUUCAUAAGUUAUUUGAUAGCAAUUGGCGGCUUCUAUACUCGUCGAUAGACCGUUUAAAGUCUAGAAGAAACCCAAACGCGUGACCGUUUCAUCCCUUGCGAAUUUAAAAGAGACAAGACGCGCCACCGUUUAUUUCUUUCAAAAUUCAAAAAGUGACAAAGCGUGUCACCGUUUAUUUCUUCUUUUACACUUUGGAAGAAAUCAUAACGCGCCACCGUUUAAUUUCUUUCAAAGUGAAAUGUACUUUUUUGGCUGAUGCAAGAAGGUGCUUUUGGCAACUUCAAUAUCUCCUUUGAGCUCAGCCAAUCAAGUAAACACAAACGAAAGAAAAGAUCUUGAUCUCAGAUUAGACAGGA
RNAcentral lists this ribosomal RNA (783 nucleotides) under Synchytrium papillatum. Its description in RNAcentral is "eukaryotic LSU rRNA". The stretch from base 265 to 411 matches the Rfam family "5.8S ribosomal RNA". Lineage: Eukaryota; Fungi; Chytridiomycota; Chytridiomycetes; Synchytriales; Synchytriaceae. The record is from RNAcentral.